ACAUACGACCAUACCUACCAGAAAAUACGGGAUCCCGUCCGCUCUCCCUUAGUCAAGCUGGUAAGGGCCAGAUUAGUAGUUGGGUCGGUGACGACCAGCGAAUCCCUGGUGUUGUAUGUU
This 120-nucleotide ribosomal RNA is filed under the name Thermothelomyces thermophilus ATCC 42464. The record is from RNAcentral. Lineage: Eukaryota; Fungi; Ascomycota; Sordariomycetes; Sordariales; Chaetomiaceae.